UGAGUAAUCCAGGCAAUCGCAUGGGCGAAAGGAAUUUCGUUUCAUGAGGAAAGUCCGGGCUCCGCAGGGCGAGGAUGCCGGAUAACGUCCGGUGGGGGUGACCCUAAGGAAAGUGCAACAGAAAACAACCGCCGCAUUUCGCGGUAAGGGUGAAAAGGCGAGGUAAGAGCUCACCGGCGGAUCGGUAACGAUCUCGCGUCAAUGCAAACCCCAUUCGGAGCAAGACCAAGCAGGGAGGUAACUGCGCAAAGCGCAAAGUGCCUGAAAGGCGGCGGCCCGUCGCUUCCCGGAAGGUAGGUCGCAUGAGCGCAUCGGCAACGAUGCGCCUAGAUAGAUGAUUGCCGAAUACAGAACCCGGCUUAUAGGAUUACUCAUUUU
RNAcentral lists this RNase P RNA (378 nucleotides) under Bacillota bacterium. Its description in RNAcentral is "RNase P RNA component class A". It matches the Rfam family "Bacterial RNase P class A". From Rfam's summary of the family: Ribonuclease P (RNase P) is a ubiquitous endoribonuclease, found in archaea, bacteria and eukarya as well as chloroplasts and mitochondria. Its best characterised activity is the generation of mature 5'-ends of tRNAs by cleaving the 5'-leader elements of precursor-tRNAs. The record is from RNAcentral. Lineage: Bacteria; Bacillati; Bacillota. RNAcentral also lists the same sequence under 3 other names.